This 459-nucleotide ribosomal RNA is filed under the name uncultured bacterium. Its description in RNAcentral is "partial 16S ribosomal RNA". It matches the Rfam family "Bacterial small subunit ribosomal RNA", at positions 338 to 795 of the family's 1533-position model. The record is from RNAcentral.
CCUACGGGAGGCUGCAGUGAGGAAUAUUGGUCAAUGGGCGGGAGCCUGAACCAGCCAAGCCGCGUGAGGGAAGAAGGUACAGCGUAUCGUAAACCUCUUUUGUCAGGGAACAAAGGCGGGGACUAGUCCCCGGAUGAGGGUACCUGAUGAAAAAGCAUCGGCUAACUCCGUGCCAGCAGCCGCGUUAAUACGGAGGAUGCGAGCGUUAUCCGGAUUUAUUGGGUUUAAGGGGUGCGCAGGGGGCCUGUUAAGUCAGCGGGAAAAGCCCGGGGCUCAACCCCGGCGAGCCGUUGAAACUGGCGGGCUGGAGUUGGAGAGAAGUACGCGGAAUGCGCGGUGUAGCGGUGAAAUGCUUAGAUAUCGCGCAGAACCCCGAUUGCGAAGGCAGCGUACCGGCUCCACACUGACGCUGAGGCACGAAAGCGUGGGUAUCGAACAGGAUUAGAUACCCUAGUAGUC